GUUCAGAGAUGGGAAUUGAACCCACAGUGUUCCGCUUACCGGGCAGAUGCCAUGUUCACUAGGCUACCCUGGA
This 73-nucleotide transfer RNA is filed under the name Cordylochernes scorpioides. RNAcentral's name for it is "tRNA-Thr". The record is from RNAcentral. Lineage: Eukaryota; Metazoa; Arthropoda; Arachnida; Pseudoscorpiones; Chernetidae.